RNAcentral lists this ribosomal RNA (496 nucleotides) under uncultured bacterium. RNAcentral's name for it is "partial 16S ribosomal RNA". It matches the Rfam family "Bacterial small subunit ribosomal RNA", at positions 28 to 507 of the family's 1533-position model. The record is from RNAcentral.
GAUGAACGCUGGCGGCGUGCCUAAUACAUGCAAGUAGAACGCUGAAGCUUGGUGCUUGCACCGAGCGGAUGAGUUGCGAACGGGUGAGUAACGCGUAGGUAACCUGCCUCUUAGCGGGGGAUAACUAUUGAAACGAUAGCUAAUACCGCAUAAAAGUCGAUAUCGCAUGAUAUUGAUUUGAAAGGUGCAAAUGCAUCACUAAGAGAUGGACCUGCGUUGUAUUAGCUAGUUGGUGAGGUAACGGCUCACCAAGGCGACGAUACAUAGCCGACCUGAGAGGGUGAUCGGCCACACUGGGACUGAGACACGGCCCAGACUCCUACGGGAGGCAGCAGUAGGGAAUCUUCGGCAAUGGGGGCAACCCUGACCGAGCAACGCCGCGUGAGUGAAGAAGGGUUUCGGAUCGUAAAGCUCUGUUGUAAGAGAAGAACGAGUGUGAGAGUGGAAAGUUCACACUGUGACGGUAACUUACCAGAAAGGGACGGCUAACUACGUG